RNAcentral lists this ribosomal RNA (451 nucleotides) under uncultured bacterium. Its description in RNAcentral is "bacterial SSU rRNA". It matches the Rfam family "Bacterial small subunit ribosomal RNA", at positions 354 to 796 of the family's 1533-position model. The record is from RNAcentral.
GUGGGGAAUAUUGCGCAAUGGGCGAAAGCCUGACGCAGCAACGCCGCGUGGGGGAUGAAGGUUCUCGGAUUGUAAACCCCUUUCGAUCGGAACGAAUCCCCUCCUGAUGAACAAUCAGGAGGGUCGACGGUACCGAGAGAAGAAGCCACGGCUAACUCUGUGCCAGCAGCCGCGGUAAGACAGAGGUGGCGAGCGUUGUUCGGAUUUAUUGGGCGUAAAGCGCACGCAGGCGGUUUGGUAAGUCAGAGGUGAAAUUCCGCAGCUUAACUGCGGGACUGCCUUUGAUACUGCCUUUCUCGAGUGCAUGAGGGGGAAGCGGAAUUCCGGGUGUAGAGGUGAAAUUCGUAGAUAUCCGGAGGAACACCGGUGGCGAAGGCGGCUUCCUGGCAUGUAACUGACGCUCAGGUGCGAAAGCGUGGGUAGCAAACAGGAUUAGAAACCCGGGUAGUCC